Molecule: ribosomal RNA, 1316 nt
Filed under: uncultured Alphaproteobacteria bacterium
Lineage: Bacteria; Pseudomonadati; Pseudomonadota; Alphaproteobacteria
Description: bacterial SSU rRNA
Rfam family: Bacterial small subunit ribosomal RNA
Source: RNAcentral
GAACGUACGCUGGCGGCACGCCUAACACAUGCAAGUCGAACGAAGUAGCAAUACUUAGUGGCAGACGGGUGAGUAACAUGUAGGUAUCUGCCCUUUGGCCUGGAAUAACACGAGGAAACUUGUGCUAAUACCGGAUAAGUCUUUACGGAGAAAGCUUUAUGCACCAUUGGAUGAGCCUGCACUUGAUUAGUUUGUUGGUAGGGUAAUGGCCUACCAAGACUGUGAUCAAUAGCUGAUUUGAGAGGAUGAUCAGCCACAUUGGGACUGAGACACGGCCCAAACUCCUACGGGAGGCAGCAGUGGGGAAUCUUGCACAAUGGAGGAAACUCUGAUGCAGCGAUGCCGCGUGAGUGAAGAAGGCCUUUGGGUUGUAAAGCUCUUUCGUCGGGGAAGAAAAUGACUGUACCCGAAUAAGAAGGUCCGGCUAACUUCGUGCCAGCAGCCGCGGUAAUACGAAGGGACCUAGCGUAGUUCGGAAUUACUGGGCUUAAAGAGUUCGUAGGUGGUUGAAAAAGUUGGUGGUGAAAUCCCAGAGCUUAACUCUGGAACUGCCAUCAAAACUUUUCAGCUAGAGUUUGAUAGAGGAAAGCAGAAUUUCUAGUGUAGAGGUGAAAUUCGUAGAUAUUAGAAAGAAUACCAAUUGCGAAGGCAGCUUUCUGGAUCAUUACUGACACUGAGGAACGAAAGCAUGGGUAGCGAAGAGGAUUAGAUACCCUCGUAGUCCAUGCCGUAAACGAUGUGUGUUAGACGUUGGAAAUUUAUUUUCAGUGUCGCAGCGAAAGCGAUAAACACACCGCCUGGGGAGUACGACCGCAAGGUUAAAACUCAAAUGAAUUGACGGGGACCCGCACAAGUAGUGGAGCAUGUGGUUUAAUUCGAAGAUACGCGCAGAACCUUACCAACACUUGACAUGUUCGUCGCGACUCUAAGAGAUUAGAGUUUUCGGUUCGGCCGGACGAAACACAGGUGCUGCAUGGCUGUCGUCAGCUCGUGUCGUGAGAUGUUGGGUUAAGUCCCGCAACGAGCGCAACCCUCACUUUUAGUUGCCAUCAUUAAGUUGGGCACUCUGAAAGAACUGCCAGUGAUAAGCUGGAGGAAGGUGGGGAUGACGUCAAGUCCUCAUGGCCCUUACGUGUUGGGCUACACACGUGCUACAAUGGUAUCUACAACAGGAAGCAAGACUGCGAAGUUAAGCAAAUCCCUAAAAGAUACCUCAGUUCGGAUUGCACUCUGCAACUCGAGUGCAUGAAGCUGGAAUUACUAGUAAUCGUGGAUCAGCGUGCCACGGUGAAUGCGUUCCCGGGUCUUGUACUCAC